Long non-coding RNA from Cydia fagiglandana, 2927 nucleotides. RefSeq lists it as uncharacterized. Lineage: Eukaryota; Metazoa; Arthropoda; Insecta; Lepidoptera; Tortricidae. The record is from RefSeq and is a predicted model, not a curated record. The transcript has 2 exons.
ACAACACCACGGAUGGCGGUGGCCGUGGCAGGAGCUGAGCCCGCCGACGUUGCUCCUGCUCGCCGCGUGGCCGUUCAUCGCCUACAAACUGGCCGGGCGGUUCCAGAGACGCGACACGUAACACGUCCUAAAUUAUUACGAAGACAUAGUAUAAGGGGAUCACGCGAUUUAGCCGGCUGCGAUCGAAAGUUACAUUACAAUUUACCUUAUUUCCUUAGAUUUAAAUUCUAUUUCCUUUAAAAUUGUCUCAAUUGUGAGAAUCACAGGCUACCGGCCCAAGUACAUGAUGGGUAAAGCCACAGAAUAAGUAAUAGUAUUAUCAUACAGAACGGCCACGCACCGCCCCGCCCCGACUCUCAUUACCUCGCCCCGCGACUGGCCGCGACAUGAAUCUGGCGGACUUCUGGCGUGCUCUCACUAAAGUUACCUACCCACACAUACACAAUGAGGCGUGUACAGACGUGCCGUGCACACAUAUAAACGCCAAUGAUUUUUUGAUGUAUUGCGUGUCCACCCUGUGGUAAAGCGAUGAUAACGCACACUGUGGCAUAAAUGUCAAGUUAAAGAUAUGUUUAUAUUAUCUUAUAUAUAUGAGAACGAAUGUGACCUGUAGCCCCCAGGGAUAGGCAUUGCUGUACUCAAAGAGAAGCCAACAAUUUUUAAAAUUUAAGUAAUUUUUUUGAUACUUGAAUUUCUUUAUACUUAAUGGUUAUUUCUAUUUCCUAGGAUUUAAAUAUUAUUUUCAGUAGAUAGAUAGAACAAAAACAUCCCAUAUUUUUGUAAUGUAACUUUCGUUUCUCGCCAUCGCAUAGCUCAGUUUACAAAACGGAUAUGGUGAUAUCUGUCUUAGUGAAAUGGUACCGUUGGGUUUUGUACGUUAAAAUAAAAGGGGUAAGGUUCAUUUUCACUUAGCGUCAUUAUUUAUAGUCCGUGAGCCGAAUGAUGAAUUUAUCUACUAUGAAAAGCCCUUAGGAUCCAUUAUACAUAAUAUUUUUUUUAUAUAUAUCAGGGGACCGUUUCUCAAAAGCUUGUAACUUGUUAUACAAGUGAAAGUCCCUUUCUAACAAAAGCUGUCAAAAAGUGACAUCCGCUUGUAUUACAACUUACAGGCUUUUGAGGAACGGCCCCAGAAGACAUCUUACACAGAUCAACCUAGCCCCAAACUAAUCAACGCUAAAGUAUAUGUAGUAGUGUUUAUUUUUAGUUGUGUUAUAAAAUUGCAAUAUGUUUUUAAUCAAUUAUUCAUUCACGUACGUCGUACAGCUUGGCAAAAAAGAGGAGAAAUUAAAAAGUGGCAACACUGUAGUGUCGUCACUUUCAAACCAAUGUAUAUAAGCAGCGGGACGACACUACAGUGUCGCCACUUUUUAAUUUCUACACUUUUUUGCCAAGCUGUACGCGCCACAUUACUACACAAUUACAUCUUACAGACUAAAAAUUAAAAUGCUACUACAAAUUGACAUGGAAAUACAGAAUUUUAUGAAGUAUACUGGAUCCUAUGGGUUUGUGCUGAAAUACAUUUAUUAUUCAUAUUGAAACGCCUGGUAUUUUAAAUCAAUUCGUUUUAUAUGUUUAAAUUUCCACAAAUUAAAGUAUUUAUGUUUGGUUUUAAUAUUUAGAUUUUUACAGCUUUUAGUGGUGAUAAUGCAUUUGUCGUGUUAUUUGUAAGAAAUGUCAGUUUUAAAUGAAAAUGCGUAGAACUGAGGGUAGUACAUACUUGAUUUCCGAACGUUUUUAUUUUACCUUUUACAUUUUUUUAAACAAGUAACUGUGUAGUUCUACAUUGAACAAUUUCACGCACGAUAAAUGGAAAUCAUGUUUAUAGGGACAGUGGUGCCAAUAUGAAACGAUGUAUUUUUAUAAAGGCGUAUCCAGAUUAAUCCAUUUUUCGCCAAUCUGAUUAAAUUGCCCGAUCGAAUUAGGACGUGCGGACGAAAACGCCAAUUUGGCUCGCCGAAUUCAACCGCUGAUAAUGACCGAUAUUACCGAUAAAAUGAGGAACGCAAGAAUACCAAUUUGCGACGCCAGUAUUUUCGUUCUGGGGCAUUUUCAAUUUAGAGGGCUCUAAUAUCACCAUAAAUCUAAAAUUGGUGAUGAAAUUGCAGAUUGACGCCAAAAAUUGGCGUCAAUCGGUCGAUUUGAUCAUCCCGUCUAGAUACCGCUUAAAGGAGGUUUCUUUGUGAUUAUCCCUCGUUCUACGCAUGCAUCAGUCAAUGUUACCUGCUACUUGUCUCACUUAAUUUAUUCGGCGAUAUCCUCACUUUUACAUUCUUACUUUUAAUUUAUUUUUAAGGGUAUUGGUGUACUGAUUACUAUUAAAAUAUUGCAUGCGAAGCAAAUGUUUAUAAAAACCUUCAUUUUAUCAUAUGGUUAAAUCCCGCAAGUUACCACCAAGUUUUUACCAGUGGUAACAACUGAAAUUUUUUACUUUUUACCACUGGCAACAACUGAGAAAAAAAAUCACACUAGUUACCAAUAAACUGAGUUGGUGGUAACUACUGGGAAUAAUGUUUCUCAGUUGUUACCAUUGGAGAUGUGAAAAAAAAUCUAUUGUUACCACUGGUCACAACUUGGUGGUAACUAGUGGGAAUAACUCGAAGCAAAUUAAAUUACUUAGUUCGUAUUCUAAAGUGGAGGCAAACGAGCCUAGGGCCUGCUAAGUAGUCAGCGUAGCCCAUAAACGCUUUCAUUCUGAAGAUACGAUUUUUUCGCUUCGCUUGCGAUUUACAUGACUUUUAUACUUUUUUUAUUUAAAAUAUUGAAAAGACUAAAAUAAAUUUUAUUGAAUUAUGAAUGAAUUCAUUUAUAUUUUCGUUGUUAUAAAUUUUCUUAUUCUGUAUCCUACGUUAGAGUAAGCAGAUGUGUUGUUGGUUAUUAUUUGUAAUUAUUAUGUGAUAUGUAGUUAAUAAAAUGUAAUAGUUGUUGUA